Molecule: ribosomal RNA, 729 nt
Filed under: Bacillus subtilis
Lineage: Bacteria; Bacillati; Bacillota; Bacilli; Caryophanales; Bacillaceae
Description: bacterial SSU rRNA
Rfam family: Bacterial small subunit ribosomal RNA
Source: RNAcentral
GAGCUUGCUCCCUGAUGUUAGCGGCGGACGGGUGAGUAACACGUGGGUAACCUGCCUGUAAGACUGGGAUAACUCCGGGAAACCGGGGCUAAUACCGGAUGGUUGUUUGAACCGCAUGGUUCAAACAUAAAAGGUGGCUUCGGCUACCACUUACAGAUGGACCCGCGGCGCAUUAGCUAGUUGGUGAGGUAACGGCUCACCAAGGCAACGAUGCGUAGCCGACCUGAGAGGGUGAUCGGCCACACUGGGACUGAGACACGGCCCAGACUCCUACGGGAGGCAGCAGUAGGGAAUCUUCCGCAAUGGACGAAAGUCUGACGGAGCAACGCCGCGUGAGUGAUGAAGGUUUUCGGAUCGUAAAGCUCUGUUGUUAGGGAAGAACAAGUACCGUUCGAAUAGGGCGGUACCUUGACGGUACCUAACCAGAAAGCCACGGCUAACUACGUGCCAGCAGCCGCGGUAAUACGUAGGUGGCAAGCGUUGUCCGGAAUUAUUGGGCGUAAAGGGCUCGCAGGCGGUUUCUUAAGUCUGAUGUGAAAGCCCCCGGCUCAACCGGGGAGGGUCAUUGGAAACUGGGGAACUUGAGUGCAGAAGAGGAGAGUGGAAUUCCACGUGUAGCGGUGAAAUGCGUAGAGAUGUGGAGGAACACCAGUGGCGAAGGCGACUCUCUGGUCUGUAACUGACGCUGAGGAGCGAAAGCGUGGGGAGCGAACAGGAUUAGAUACCCUG